CCUACGGGAGGCAGCAGUGGGGAAUAUUGGACAAUGGGCGAAAGCCUGAUCCAGCAAUGCCGCGUGAGUGAUGAAGGCCUUCGGGUCGUAAAGCUCUUUUACCAGGGAUGAUAAUGACAGUACCUGGAGAAUAAGCUCCGGCUAACUCCGUGCCAGCAGCCGCGGUAAUACGGAGGGAGCUAGCGUUGUUCGGAAUUACUGGGCGUAAAGAGUACGUAGGCGGUUAUUCAAGUCAGAGGUGAAAGCCCGGGGCUCAACCCCGGAACUGCCUUUGAAACUAGAUAACUAGAGUCUUGGAGAGGUUAGUGGAAUUCCGAGUGUAGAGGUGAAAUUCGUAGAUAUUCGGAAGAACACCAGUGGCGAAGGCGACUAACUGGACAAGUACUGACGCUGAGGUACGAAAGCGUGGGGAGCAAACAGGAUUAGAUACCCUGGUAGUCCACGCCGUAAACGAUGAUAACUAGUUGUUCGUCUACUGUGUACUGAGUGACGCGAGACUACGACAUUAAGUUAUCCGUCCGUCGGGUAGGUACGGUCGCGAGAGUAAACGUAACGAAAGAAAGUAGAGGACGUGUAAGUAGUGCGACGACGACGACGAGGGAGGAGG
Molecule: ribosomal RNA, 607 nt
Filed under: uncultured bacterium
Lineage: Bacteria
Description: bacterial SSU rRNA
Rfam family: Bacterial small subunit ribosomal RNA (bases 1-519)
Source: RNAcentral